GAUGAACGCUGGCGGCGUGCCUAAUACAUGCAAGUCGAGCGAACAGAUGAGGAGCUUGCUCCUCUGACGUUAGCGGCGGACGGGUGAGUAACACGUGGAUAACCUACCUAUAAGACUGGGAUAACUUCGGGAAACCGGAGCUAAUACCGGAUAAUAUAUUGAACCGCAUGGUUCAAUAGUGAAAGCCGGUUUUGCUGUCACUUAUAGAUGGAUCCGCGCCGCAUUAGCUAGUUGGUAAGGUAACGGCCUACCAAGGCAACGAUGCGUAGCCGACCUGAGAGGGUGAUCGGCCACACUGGAACUGAGACACGGUCCAGACUCCUACGGGAGGCAGCAGUAGGGAAUCUUCCGCAAUGGGCGAAAGCCUGACGGAGCAACGCCGCGUGAGUGAUGAAGGUCUUCGGAUCGUAAAACUCUGUUAUUAGGGAAGAACAAAUGUGUAAGUAACUAUGCACGUCUUGACGGUACCUAAUCAGAAAGCCACGGCUAACUACGUG
This 497-nucleotide ribosomal RNA is filed under the name uncultured bacterium. RNAcentral describes it as "partial 16S ribosomal RNA". It matches the Rfam family "Bacterial small subunit ribosomal RNA", at positions 28 to 507 of the family's 1533-position model. The record is from RNAcentral.